This 274-nucleotide ribosomal RNA is filed under the name uncultured bacterium. Its description in RNAcentral is "partial 16S ribosomal RNA". It matches the Rfam family "Bacterial small subunit ribosomal RNA", at positions 523 to 796 of the family's 1533-position model. The record is from RNAcentral.
AUACGGAGGGUGCAAGCGUUAAUCGGAAUUACUGGGCGUAAAGCGCGCGUAGGCGGUUGGGUCAGUCGGAUGUGAAAGCCCCGGGCUUAACCUGGGAACUGCAUUCGAUACUGCCUGGCUAGAGUAUGGUAGAGGAAAGUGGAAUUCCCGGUGUAGCGGUGAAAUGCGUAGAUAUCGGGAAGAACAUCAGUGGCGAAGGCGGCUUUCUGGACCAAUACUGACGCUGAGGUGCGAAAGCGUGGGGAGCAAACGGGAUUAGAUACCCCAGUAGUCC